AUGAACGCUGGCGGCGUGCCUAAUACAUGCAAGUCGAGCGAACAAAUGAGGAGCUUGCUCCUCUGACGUUAGCGGCGGACGGGUGAGUAACACGUGGAUAACCUACCUAUAAGACUGGGAUAACUUCGGGAAACCGGAGCUAAUACCGGAUAAUAUAUUGAACCGCAUGGUUCAAUAGUGAAAGACGGUUUUGCUGUCACUUAUAGAUGGAUCCGCGCCGCAUUAGCUAGUUGGUAAGGUAACGGCUUACCAAGGCAACGAUGCGUAGCCGACCUGAGAGGGUGAUCGGCCACACUGGAACUGAGACACGGUCCAGACUCCUACGGGAGGCAGCAGUAGGGAAUCUUCCGCAAUGGGCGAAAGCCUGACGGAGCAACGCUGCGUGAGUGAUGAAGGUCUUCGGAUCGUAAAACUCUGUUAUUAGGGAAGAACAAAUGUGUAAGUAACUAUGCACGUCUUGACGGUACCUAAUCAGAAAGCCACGGCUAACUACGUG
RNAcentral lists this ribosomal RNA (496 nucleotides) under uncultured bacterium. Its description in RNAcentral is "partial 16S ribosomal RNA". It matches the Rfam family "Bacterial small subunit ribosomal RNA", at positions 29 to 507 of the family's 1533-position model. The record is from RNAcentral.